AUUGAACGCUGGCGGCAGGCUUAACACACGCAAGUCGAGCGGGGUGAUGGUGCUUGCACUAUCACUUAGCGGCGGACGGGUGAGUAAUGCUUAGGAAUCUGCCAAUUAGUGGGGGACAACAUCUCGAAAGGGAUGCUAAUACCGCAUACGUCCUACGGGAGAAAGCAGGGGAUCACUUGUGACCUUGCGCUAAUAGAUGAGCCUAAGUCGGAUUAGCUAGUUGGUGGGGUAAAGGCCUACCAAGGCGACGAUCUGUAGCGGGUCUGAGAGGAUGAUCCGCCACACUGGGACUGAGACACGGCCCAGACUACUACGGGAGGCAGCAGUGGGGAAUAUUGGACAAUGGGGGGAACCCUGAUCCAGCCAUGCCGCGUGUGUGAAGAAGGCCUUAUGGUUGUAAAGCACUUUAAGCGAGGAGGAGGCUCUUUUGGUUAAUACCCAAGAUGAGUGGACGUUACUCGCAGAAUAAGCACCGGCUAACUCUGUGCCAGCCGCCGCCGUAA
RNAcentral lists this ribosomal RNA (503 nucleotides) under uncultured bacterium. Its description in RNAcentral is "partial 16S ribosomal RNA". It matches the Rfam family "Bacterial small subunit ribosomal RNA", at positions 30 to 523 of the family's 1533-position model. The record is from RNAcentral.